AUUGAACGCUGGCGGCAGGCUUAACACAUGCAAGUCGAGCGGGGUGAUGGUGCUUGCACUAUCACUUAGCGGCGGACGGGUGAGUAAUGCUUAGGAAUCUGCCUAUUAGUGGGGGACAACAUCUCGAAAGGGAUGCUAAUACCGCAUACGUCCUACGGGAGAAAGCAGGGGAUCUUCGGACCUUGCGCUAAUAGAUGAGCCUAAGUCGGAUUAGCUAGUUGGUGGGGUAAAGGCCUACCAAGGCGACGAUCUGUAGCGGGUCUGAGAGGAUGAUCCGCCACACUGGGACUGAGACACGGCCCAGACUCCUACGGGAGGCAGCAGUGGGGAAUAUUGGACAAUGGGCGCAAGCCUGAUCCAGCCAUGCCGCGUGUGUGAAGAAGGCCUUAUGGUUGUAAAGCACUUUAAGCGAGGAGGAGGCUACUUUAGAUAAUACCUAGAGAUAGUGGACGUUACUCGCAGAAUAAGCACCGGCUAACUACGUGCCAGCAGCCGCAGUAA
RNAcentral lists this ribosomal RNA (501 nucleotides) under uncultured bacterium. RNAcentral describes it as "partial 16S ribosomal RNA". It matches the Rfam family "Bacterial small subunit ribosomal RNA", at positions 30 to 523 of the family's 1533-position model. The record is from RNAcentral.